AGUAAAUUGGUUAAGUUAGAAAGGGCGCACGGUGGAUGCCUUGGCACUAGGAGCCGAAGAAGGACGGGACUAACACCGAUAUGCUUUGGGGAGCUGUACGUAAGCGUUGAUCCAGAGAUUUCCGAAUGGGGGAACCCACUAUCUUUAGUCGGAUAGUAUCCUUACGUGAAUACAUAGCGUGAGGAAGGCAGACCCAGGGAACUGAAACAUCUAAGUACCUGGAGGAAGAGAAAGAAAAAUCGAUUUCCUG
This 250-nucleotide ribosomal RNA is filed under the name Listeria welshimeri. Its description in RNAcentral is "partial 23S ribosomal RNA". It matches the Rfam family "Bacterial large subunit ribosomal RNA", at positions 1 to 241 of the family's 2925-position model. The record is from RNAcentral. Lineage: Bacteria; Bacillati; Bacillota; Bacilli; Caryophanales; Listeriaceae.